This is a long non-coding RNA of Etheostoma spectabile (orangethroat darter), 695 nucleotides long. RefSeq lists it as uncharacterized. The transcript has 3 exons. The record is from RefSeq and is a predicted model, not a curated record. Lineage: Eukaryota; Metazoa; Chordata; Actinopteri; Perciformes; Percidae.
CACUCACAUUAGCUAGGGUGUCCUUCAGAUCUGUUCAAAGCACAUUUACAGACGACUUGCUGAAUCCAUCAUCCACAGCUUUUAAAAAUCGAGAUGCAUUGAUAACAGGACAGCUUGAACCGGUCUUCAAAACAACAUUCCCCUCCUUCAGUGCCUUGAAAGUGGUGUCAUUCAGGUAAUUUCAUUUAUUUUCAGGUAAUAUAAUUUAGGAAUAGUGGACUUAAUCUGAUUUUUCAAACUAUAUUAUGGGUUUCUCUUUUUGCAGUAGUGGAUCAGUCAUCAACACCAUGGACCUUAGCUUUGUGGGUACACUUGCUCCUAUAACAUUCAGAUUACAAGCGCUUUGAUCAAAGUAGCUUCAAGCGUCAGCGGCUUCGACAUUGAAGGCAGCUCCAUCAGCGUGAAUGGCAUCUCUUCGGAUGGAGUAAUCCACAAAAUCAGUCUUGUCACUGCAUCCUGCCUGGUACUGUUGUCAUGGCUAUUGUAAAGCAAGCAAUAACAUCUGUGCUGAUUCCAUUUUAAUUUAAAGUCAUAAAGUCAUGACAGUUAAGACUGAUUGGACAAGGGAACCUAAUAUCCAAAAUUCAUUAUUGCCUUAUAGCUUUGACAGCUUUGGAUAAAUUUACUAUCAAAUGUAACUUUGCAAAACCCCUAGAGAGGUUAAUCAAUGGGGCAAUAGAAAAUAUAGGACAAAU